This 253-nucleotide ribosomal RNA is filed under the name uncultured bacterium. RNAcentral's name for it is "partial 16S ribosomal RNA". It matches the Rfam family "Bacterial small subunit ribosomal RNA", at positions 524 to 776 of the family's 1533-position model. The record is from RNAcentral.
UACGUAGGAUGCAAGCGUUGUCCGGAAUUAUUGGGCGUAAAGAGCGAGCAGGCGGUUUGGCAAGUUGGACGUGAAAUUUUAGGGCUUAACCCUAAAGGGUCGUCCAAAACUCCCAGACUAGAGUGCAGGAGAGGAAAGCGGAAUUCCCGGUGUAGUGGUGAAAUGCGUAGAUAUCGGGAGGAACACCAGAGGCGAAGGCGGCUUUCUGGCCUGUAACUGACGCUGAGGCGCGAAGGCUGGGGUAGCGAACAGG